CCUACGGGAGGCAGCAGUGAGGAAUAUUGGUCAAUGGGCGCGAGCCUGAACCAGCCAAGUAGCGUGAAGGAUGACUGCCCUACGGGUUGUAAACUUCUUUUAUAAAGGAAUAAAGUGAGGCACGUGUGCCUUUUUGUAUUUACUUUAUGAAUAAAGAUAGGCUAACCUCGUUACAGCCGCCGCGGUAAUACGGAGGGUCCGAGUGUUAUCCGGAUUUAUUGGGUUUAAAGGGAGCGUAGAUGGGUUGUUAAGUCAGUUGUGAAAGUUUGCGGCUCAACCGUAAAAGUGCAAUUGAUACUGGCAGUCUUGAGUGCAGUUGAGGUAGGCGGAAUUCGUGGUGUAGCGGUGAAAUGCUUAGAUAUCACGAAGAACUCCGAUUGCGAAGGCAGCUUACUAGACUGCCACUGACAUUGAUGCUCGAAAGUGUGGGUAUCGAACAGGAUUAGAUACCCUUGUAGUC
This 460-nucleotide ribosomal RNA is filed under the name uncultured bacterium. Its description in RNAcentral is "partial 16S ribosomal RNA". It matches the Rfam family "Bacterial small subunit ribosomal RNA", at positions 338 to 795 of the family's 1533-position model. The record is from RNAcentral.